This 543-nucleotide ribosomal RNA is filed under the name uncultured bacterium. RNAcentral describes it as "bacterial SSU rRNA". It matches the Rfam family "Bacterial small subunit ribosomal RNA", at positions 966 to 1509 of the family's 1533-position model. The record is from RNAcentral.
GAACCUUACCUGGCCUUGACAUACUAAGAACUUUCCAGAGAUGGAUUGGUGCCUUCGGGAACUUAGAUACAGGUGCUGCAUGGCUGUCGUCAGCUCGUGUCGUGAGAUGUUGGGUUAAGUCCCGCAACGAGCGCAACCCUUUUCCUAUUUGCCAGCGGGUUAAGCCGGGAACUUUAAGGAUACUGCCAGUGACAAACUGGAGGAAGGCGGGGACGACGUCAAGUCAUCAUGGCCCUUACGGCCAGGGCUACACACGUGCUACAAUGGUCGGUACAAAGGGUUGCUACCUCGCGAGAGGAUGCUAAUCUCAAAAAGCCGACCGUAGUCCGGAUCGCAGUCUGCAACUCGACUGCGUGAAGUCGGAAUCGCUAGUAAUCGCGGAUCAGAAUGCCGCGGUGAAUACGUUCCCGGGCCUUGUACACACCGCCCGUCACACCAUGGGAGUUUGUUGCACCAGAAGUAGGUAGUCUAACCGCAAGGAGGACGCUUACCACGGUGUGGCCGAUGACUGGGGUGAAGUCGUAACAAGGUAGGCGUAGAUGA